RNAcentral lists this transfer RNA (82 nucleotides) under Saccoglossus kowalevskii. RNAcentral's name for it is "tRNA-Ser". It matches the Rfam family "tRNA". From Rfam's summary of the family: Transfer RNA (tRNA) molecules are approximately 80 nucleotides in length. Lineage: Eukaryota; Metazoa; Hemichordata; Enteropneusta; Harrimaniidae. The record is from RNAcentral.
GCUGUGAUGGCCGAGUGGUUAAGGCGUUGGACUUGAAAUCCAAUGGGGUCUACCCGCGCAGUUUCGAACCCUGCUCGCAGCG